This is a long non-coding RNA of Dunckerocampus dactyliophorus (ringed pipefish), 1008 nucleotides long. RefSeq lists it as uncharacterized. The record is from RefSeq and is a predicted model, not a curated record. The transcript is spliced from 3 exons. Lineage: Eukaryota; Metazoa; Chordata; Actinopteri; Syngnathiformes; Syngnathidae.
CUCUCCGUGAAGCACAAGCUAGCAAAGGCAGAAAGCUCAUAAACAAGCUGUGUUUGCUCUAAAACGUUUGAGCCUUAGUCACACAGCACAGCAAAGAAAGCUUCACGGAAGCAAGAAAAGUAAGCCUUGUGUAAGGAGUUUUCUUUAUUGGUUCGCUGGCUGCCUAGCAGCAUGCAGUCACGUGUUGUGAGGACGGCACACACAGCACCACCAUUUCCAGGGUUUUACUUUUACAGGUUCUCACCAUGACCAGGAGCUUGAUGCUGUCAGUCUUCACGUCAGGAUUCAUUCAGUUGACCACAACUGAUUCAUUGCUAUGCUACAGUGUUGCCUACCUACACUCUGACUCCGAAGUAAGUAGUUAUUGCUGUAAUCUAACAAAUUUUACAGAAAGGACCAUUUUUGUUCACAGUAUCAUAUUUAUUGCAUAUUAUGCAGUACCGUAUUGACCUGCAAAUAUAAGACGUCAUUUUUUUUCAAACCUAAGAUGCAGGUUUUUUUCUUGAAAUAUAUAUACGUUCUUAGCAUAUCUACAUGUGUUGCUUUAGAAAAUAUCAAAGUGGCCCUUGCGUCCUCCAUACUCAGUGGCAAAGUUUGGACACCGCUGAUCAAAAGCCACAAAUAUUUUGAAAACUUUGCAUUUCAAACCUGGAUUUUCUUUUUUUGUUUGUUUUGUUUAUUUAACUUUUUAAUUCUGGCAGAUUUGCAUUGUAGAAAUUCCAGUUGUGAGAACAUUCAAAUAAACCACUUGUACCUUUCAUAUUCUACCAUAAUUGUAUAUCCAAUUACCUAUUUGCUGACGUAGCUGCAUAUGUUGUUUCUGCAGACAAAAUCAAACCAAUCUUCUUACUGAAAUCUGUUAUUAUAUAAUGCGCACACGCAAUAGCCUCACCUGCCCUAUUGAUGUUGCGGCGUUAUGCAGCAUGCUAAGCUUAGAUCACAUCUGCCUAUGAGCUCUCGACACAUAUUUCAGUGUCAGGAGCGGGCCAGAUAAGGCUAAUAAAAGUA